AUAAUACUCCAUAGAUUAGAGACACUGGAAUGUUCUUUAGUCGAAAGUUCUGGCGCCUUAGGAUGGAUCUGCGGUCGAUUAGGUUGUUGUUGGGGUAACGGCCCAACAAGCCUGUAAUCGAUACGGGUUGUGGGAGCAAGAGCCCGGAGAUGGAAUCUGAGACACGAUUCCAGGCCCUACGGGGCGCAGCAGGCGCGAAAACUUUACAAUGCAGGAAACUGUGAUAAGGGAACUCCGAGUGCCCGUAUACGCGGGCUGUCCAGGUGUUUAAAAAUCAUCUGAAGAAAGGGCCGGGCAAGACCGGUGCCAGCCGCCGCGGUAAUACCGGCGGCUCGAGUGGUGGCCACUAUUAUUGGGCUUAAAGCGUCCGUAGCUGGACCGAUAAGUCUCUUGGGAAAUCCGCCGGCUCAACCGGCGGGCGUCUAAGGGAUACUGUUAGUCUAGGGACCGGGAGAGGUGAGAGGUACUCCGGGGGUAGGAGUGAAAUCCUGUAAUCCCCGGGGGACCACCGAUGGCGAAGGCAUCUCACCGGAACGGCUCCGACAGUGAGGGACGAAAGCUGGGGGAGCGAACCGGAUUAGAUACCCGGGUAGUCCCAGCCGUAAACUAUGCGCGUUAGGUGU
RNAcentral lists this ribosomal RNA (623 nucleotides) under uncultured archaeon. RNAcentral's name for it is "bacterial SSU rRNA". It matches the Rfam family "Archaeal small subunit ribosomal RNA", at positions 146 to 774 of the family's 1478-position model. The record is from RNAcentral.